This is a non-coding RNA of Triticum aestivum (bread wheat), 125 nucleotides long. The record is from Rfam. Lineage: Eukaryota; Viridiplantae; Streptophyta; Magnoliopsida; Poales; Poaceae.
CCAGUACUCCCUCCGUCCGAAAAUACUUGUCAGAGGAAUAAAUGUAUCUAGACAUAUUUUAGUUGUAGAUACAUCCAUUUUUAUGCAAUUCUCCGACAAGUAUUUUCGGACGGAGGAAGUACAAG